Molecule: unclassified non-coding RNA, 1041 nt
Filed under: Hevea brasiliensis (rubber tree)
Lineage: Eukaryota; Viridiplantae; Streptophyta; Magnoliopsida; Malpighiales; Euphorbiaceae
Source: RNAcentral
ACAUGCUGUCCGCCUUCGGAGAACUUAAUUGGAGAGCCAGUCAACCACCAAUCCACGCACCCAUACGCCUUUCACCUUGCUCUAAUCUCUACACUCCCAACUCCAACCUCCAUCGAGAUCCACCUGAAAAUACGUACAUGGACUAUCCCAACUCCAUUGUUGCCGAAGCCUCCAAUACUGAGCAUGCCCCAUACACUCCCUUGCAGGGGCAGCCCUCCACCGUCGGACCUCCCACAAAACUCCGGCGACCUUUGAAAGUUUUCUCUGUGACGUUUGCCUCCGUCAUUUUCUUAUUGUCAUUGGUGACAUUAAUCAUUAACCAAAGCCGAGAGCCAUUACCAACACCAAACAAGAACCCGUCUCCUUCAACGCCUAAAGCUACGUCAUUUGCGAAAAGGGAGCCAAGGGGCGUGGCCGAAGGAGUAUCAGCCAAGUCAAAUCCAUCAUUUUUCAGUGAUGGAGUCUCCUACAAUUGGACAAACGCUAUGCUUGCUUGGCAAAGAACAGCUUACCAUUUCCAACCCCAGCGAAAUUGGAUGAAUGGUAGGUAGCAGUCAAUUAAUUACAAAAACAAAAUCUUUUUAGUUCUUUGCUAAUUGCACCUUUGUGCUAUAUUUUUUACUGUUCAUAUUUUGUUGUUUUGUUCUGAUUGAAUAUUCUUCCAUUGUGUUUGGUAUGUUGCCGAUUGGUUUUUGGUGGGUGGGAUUCUGCUUCAGAUCCUGAUGGUACGAUCUUAUUAUACUUCUGAGAAUACAAGUUUCUUCAUUUAGCUGAUUAUAUCAUCCCGUUACGAUCUCUCUCCCUUUUUUUUAUUGUUCUUAUUGCAAAUUGUUAACUUCUAAUCAAUUUGGGUGACGAUUGAAUAAUCAAGAGGGUGAGAUGAUUUGACUUUUCUUUCAUGCAAUCUGUUACGUAGAUAACCGGGCAUGAACCAACUUGCUGCCAUAGCUACGUGUUUGUCUACAAGUUUAAGUACACAGGCUAGACGAAAGAAACAUAAGCUAAAAUAUUUUUAUUACAGCCAGUAUAUAGUACUCCAGG